Long non-coding RNA from Pipistrellus kuhlii (Kuhl's pipistrelle), 161 nucleotides. RefSeq lists it as uncharacterized. The record is from RefSeq and is a predicted model, not a curated record. NCBI's taxonomy places the organism in Eukaryota, Metazoa, Chordata, Mammalia, Chiroptera, Vespertilionidae. The transcript is spliced from 3 exons.
AAAGGGGGAAACAGUAUUUUUCAGCAGGAGAAAAUGCUCUUGGCAUACAAAAAUACAUAAUCCCUAUAUCUGGACUGAUAGCCAGCCAUAAGCACUAUACAACCAAACUGGUCAUGAAAAAAUUGAACUGCUCUCUUACACCUUAUACCAGGGGUGUGCAA